This 67-nucleotide transfer RNA is filed under the name Megaselia scalaris. RNAcentral's name for it is "tRNA-Phe". The record is from RNAcentral. Lineage: Eukaryota; Metazoa; Arthropoda; Insecta; Diptera; Phoridae.
AUUCAAAUAGCUUAUAAUUAGAGUAUGACACUGAAGAUGUUAGGGAGAUUUAUUUAAUCUUUGAAUA